UUUAAAGAGAGUUUGAUCCUGGCUCAGGACGAACGCUGGCGGCGUGCCUAAUACAUGCAAGUCGAACGAACGGAGGAAGAGCUUGCUCUUCCAAAGUUAGUGGCGGACGGGUGAGUAACACGUGGGCAACCUGCCUGUAAGUUGGGGAUAACUCCGGGAAACCGGGGCUAAUACCGAAUGAUAAAGUGUGGCGCAUGCCACGCUUUUGAAAGAUGGUUUCGGCUAUCGCUUACAGAUGGGCCCGCGGUGCAUUAGCUAGUUGGUA
Molecule: ribosomal RNA, 265 nt
Filed under: Listeria monocytogenes
Lineage: Bacteria; Bacillati; Bacillota; Bacilli; Caryophanales; Listeriaceae
Description: partial 16S ribosomal RNA
Rfam family: Bacterial small subunit ribosomal RNA
Source: RNAcentral